This 342-nucleotide ribosomal RNA is filed under the name Triticum aestivum (bread wheat). RNAcentral describes it as "partial small subunit ribosomal RNA". The record is from RNAcentral. Lineage: Eukaryota; Viridiplantae; Streptophyta; Magnoliopsida; Poales; Poaceae.
AUGCUGCAACCAACGGCCCCUACUACUACGACCAACGAGGUGGUCUCUGCCGUGAAGAUGGACGACGGCUGCGGCGAUUUUUGUGCUGGAACCCACGACUGCCUCUACAUCAACCGGCCAGCCAUUUUGCUGGAACCAGCAUCGAUCCUUUUGCCAGACACGUCAGUACAAACCGACCAUUGCGGCGAGCCGGAACCAGAGCAUGGCGAUGAGCUAGAACUGGCGAGCUUGCUUUGCUGCAACCAGCCGCAGGCUGCUAGGAUAAGCAGGGCCAGAAGCUGGAACAGGCGUCCAAAUUUGCUAGAACGGGAGAUCUGGAUUGUUGCAUCGUUCGCCACAUAG